Molecule: ribosomal RNA, 1452 nt
Filed under: uncultured bacterium
Lineage: Bacteria
Description: 16S ribosomal RNA
Rfam family: Bacterial small subunit ribosomal RNA
Source: RNAcentral
ACGCUGGCGGCAGGCUUAACACAUGCAAGUCGAACGGAGUAUAGAGCUUGCUCUAUAUUUAGUGGCGAACGGGUGAGUAAUGCCUAGGAAUCUGCCCAUUAGCGGGGGAUAACGUGUGGAAACGCACGCUAAUACCGCAUACGCCCUACGGGGGAAAGCAGGGGAUCUUCGGACCUUGCACUAAUGGAUGAGCCUAGGUCGGAUUAGCUAGUUGGUAGGGUAAAGGCCUACCAAGGCUACGAUCUGUAGCGGGUCUGAGAGGAUGAUCCGCCACACUGGAACUGAGACACGGUCCAGACUCCUACGGGAGGCAGCAGUGGGGAAUAUUGGACAAUGGGGGCAACCCUGAUCCAGCCAUGCCGCGUGUGUGAAGAAGGCCUUUUGGUUGUAAAGCACUUUAAGCGAGGAGGAGGGUACUCUGGUUAAUACCUAGAUGUAUCGGACGUUACUCGCAGAAUAAGCACCGGCUAACUCUGUGCCAGCAGCCGCGGUAAUACAGAGGGUGCGAGCGUUAAUCGGAAUUACUGGGCGUAAAGCGCGCGUAGGCGGUUAUGUAAGUUGGAUGUGAAAUCCCUGGGCUUAACCUGGGCACUGCAUUCAAAACUGCAUAGCUAGAGUAUGGGAGAGGAUGGUAGAAUUCCAGGUGUAGCGGUGAAAUGCGUAGAGAUCUGGAGGAAUACCGAUGGCGAAAGGCAGCCAUCUGGCCUAAUACUGACGCUGAGGUGCGAAAGCAUGGGGAGCAAACAGGAUUAGAUACCCUGGUAGUCCAUGCCGUAAACGAUGUCAACUAGCCGUUGGGGACCUUGAGUCCUUAGUGGCGCAGCUAACGCGAUAAGUUGACCGCCUGGGGAGUACGGUCGCAAGACUAAAACUCAAAUGAAUUGACGGGGGCCCGCACAAGCGGUGGAGCAUGUGGUUUAAUUCGAUGCAACGCGAAGAACCUUACCUAGCCUUGACAUGUCUGGAAUCUUGUAGAGAUACGAGAGUGCCUUCGGGAAUCAGAACACAGGUGCUGCAUGGCUGUCGUCAGCUCGUGUCGUGAGAUGUUGGGUUAAGUCCCGCAACGAGCGCAACCCUUUUCCUUAUUUGCCAGCACUUCGGGUGGGAACUCUAAGGAUACUGCCAGUGACAAACUGGAGGAAGGCGGGGACGACGUCAAGUCAUCAUGGCCCUUACGGCUAGGGCUACACACGUGCUACAAUGGUCGGUACAAAGGGUCGCUAACCCGCGAGGGCAUGCCAAUCUCAAAAAGCCGAUCGUAGUCCAGAUUGGAGUCUGCAACCCGACUCCAUGAAGUCGGAAUCGCUAGUAAUCGCGGAUCAGAAUGUCGCGGUGAAUACGUUCCCGGGCCUUGUACACACCGCCCGUCACACCAUGGGAGUUUGUUGCACCAGAAGUAGUUAGCCUAACCGCAAGGAGGGCGAUUACCACGGUGUGGCCAAUGACUGGGGU